RNAcentral lists this ribosomal RNA (446 nucleotides) under uncultured bacterium. RNAcentral's name for it is "bacterial SSU rRNA". It matches the Rfam family "Bacterial small subunit ribosomal RNA", at positions 330 to 792 of the family's 1533-position model. The record is from RNAcentral.
GCCAGACUCCUACGGGAGGCAGCAGUGGGGGAUAUUGCACAAUGGGGGGAACCCUGAUGCAGCGACGCCGCGUGGGUGAAGAAGUAUUUCGGUAUGUAAAGCCCUAUCGGCAGGGAAGAAUUUAGACGGUACCUGACUAAGAAGCCCCGGCUAACUACGUGCCAGCAGCCGCGGUAAUACGUAGGGGGCAAGCGUUAUCCGGAUUCACUGGGUGUAAAGGGAGCGUAGACGGCCAUGCAAGCCUGGAGUGAAAGCCCGGGGCCCAACCCCGGGACUGCUCUGGGAACUGUGCGGCUGGAGUGCGGGAGGGGCAGGCGGAAUUCCUGGUGUAGCGGUGAAAUGCGUAGAUAUUAGGAGGAACACCAGUGGCGAAGGCGGCUUACUGGACUGUAACUGACGUUGAGGCUCGAAAGCGUGGGGAGCAAACAGGAUUAGAUACCCUAGUA